Molecule: long non-coding RNA, 923 nt
Filed under: Daphnia pulicaria
Lineage: Eukaryota; Metazoa; Arthropoda; Branchiopoda; Diplostraca; Daphniidae
Description: uncharacterized LOC124341544, transcript variant X2
Source: RNAcentral
CUGAGGGUAGUACUUGUACUACCAGAAGGCAUUAAAGUAAAUGCGGGUGUCUGGGUGUGUAGGAGGGGGAGGGAUGUGGGGGGAGUGUACGGUGUUCUGGGCCAGGCUUCCAGAACCUUUAAUUCAGAAUCAGAAUAAAUUUAUAGAAAUCUAAACUACUGCAUCGAUUUUCUUCAAACUUUUUGUGUAAACUUACAGUAAUUUAUCUCAGCGGAUAGGACAACCACAACAUCAAUUCGAUUGUCUGUUUGUUUUUGUUGCUGAUUUACCAGUUACCGAACGUCGUCAUCAUGUAGACAUGGCAAAAGACUAUACUAUGGAUUACCUUAUUCAUCAUUGUCAUUGUAAUUGUUUCGCAUAGCUAAAUGCUUCAUGAAGGGAAAAUGACCAUGAUUUUCAUGGUAGUGUAUCAAACCAUUUCUCUGAGUCACUCACUGAUUUUGUUGUGACGCCCAGGAAAAUGACCAUUAAAUGGGUUUGCUUGAUUUUCAUGGUAGUGCACUAAACCAUUUCUGUGAGUCACUCACUGAUAUCAACACCAUAUGAUGAGUAGUCAUCAUGUAUGGCUAAUGAUUAGAAGUUAGACAUGAAUAUGUAUCGUCCUCACCUAAAUUUGGAUGUGCACAUGUCUGUUUCAGAAAGAAAGUUAAGGAUAGGAGAAGAUGAGCACAUUAGCUUAGGCAUACCAGCAAUUUUAAAUCUACGUUGAUUGCAUCUGUUGGAAAAAUGGAAAUUUAUUUAACAUUUGAUUUUAACUGAAUAGUCGUAUGUGUAAUAUUUUCAAAUGCAAUCAUUGAUGUCUUAAAAUCUUCGAGAGCUGUGCCGUAUCACGACAGAAAUGUUUACCUAAAUCACAUUUUGACUUGGCAUUGUUGUAAUCAUUGUAAUUUUUCAUUUUCUAAUACACCACCGUUUUAACUAUU